UAGGGAAUAUUCCACAAUGAGCGAAAGCUUGAUGGAGCGACACAGCGUGCACGAUGAAGGUCUUCGGAUUGUAAAGUGCUGUUAUAAGGGAAGAACAUUUGCAAUAGGAAAUGAUUGCAGACUGACGGUACCUUGUCAUAAAGCGAUGGCUAACUAUGUGCCAGCAGCCGCGGUAAUACAUAGGUCGCAAGCGUUAUCCGGCAUUAUUGGGCGUAAAGCGUUCGUAGGCUGUUUGUUAAGUCUGGAGUUAAAUCCCGGGGCUCAACCCCGGCUCGCUUUGGAUACUAGCAAACUAGAGUUAGAUAGAGGUAAGCGGAAUUCCAUGUGAAGCGGUGAAAUGCGUAGAUAUAUGGAAGAACACCAAAGGCGAAGGCAGCUUACUGGGUCUAUACUGACGCUGAGGGACGAAAGCGUGGGGAGCAAACAGG
This 428-nucleotide ribosomal RNA is filed under the name Verrucomicrobiota bacterium. RNAcentral's name for it is "Verrucomicrobia bacterium partial 16S ribosomal RNA". It matches the Rfam family "Bacterial small subunit ribosomal RNA", at positions 355 to 776 of the family's 1533-position model. Lineage: Bacteria; Pseudomonadati; Verrucomicrobiota. The record is from RNAcentral.